Long non-coding RNA from Salvia splendens (bonfire salvia), 547 nucleotides. RefSeq lists it as uncharacterized. Lineage: Eukaryota; Viridiplantae; Streptophyta; Magnoliopsida; Lamiales; Lamiaceae. The transcript has 3 exons. The record is from RefSeq and is a predicted model, not a curated record.
AACAAGAUCUGAGGGGUUAAAAACCUCAUUGAGUGCAGCGUUGAUGACAUCGUCCAUCCAUGUCUCUCCGGAUGCCGUUUCAUUGACGCUACACUCAAUAAUGUUUUUAAUUCUUAAAGCACUUCAAACAAGCAGAUUCACAUUCUUACUUCUAUGCUAUAUACUGUAUUUCCUAUCGAUUUUCCCCUGUUUAUUGGAUUUGUUAGUUUCUGCUAUUCCUUGCACUCAAGCUCCGGUACCAAUCACCACUGUUCCUACUUAGAAAAUGCAGCAACAUAUCCUCGAAUCAACCGCAUCUAUGGGGCAAUUACUCCUUCGAUUGUAUAGGCGAGAGAAUCCACCAAAUCGACUUUGAAAAGCAAUUCUUGCAAAGCUUGUAAAGAAUCAUACGCUGAUCAAGUUUCUGCUGCCAGCCCUGCAGCAAAAGUUCAAGGAGAAGAGUACUGAAUUACGGCAUACACCACAUUAUAUUUUGUAUGUUUCUUUCAUUGUGCAUAUAUAAAUAUUCAAAAUAUUUCAAACUUCAUUACAGUACACACGAAAUAUC